Molecule: non-coding RNA, 71 nt
Organism: Trichonephila inaurata madagascariensis
Lineage: Eukaryota; Metazoa; Arthropoda; Arachnida; Araneae; Nephilidae
Source: the annotation of a GenBank genome assembly
GGGUGUAUAGCUCAGUGGUAGAGCAUUCGAAUGCAGAUCGGGAGAUCCCGGCUCAUACCCGGAUGUUCCCA